UGGCUCAGACAGUAAAGCAUCUGCCUGCAAAGCGGGAGACCUAGGUUCAAUUCCUGG
Molecule: transfer RNA, 57 nt
Filed under: Ovis aries (sheep)
Lineage: Eukaryota; Metazoa; Chordata; Mammalia; Artiodactyla; Bovidae
Rfam family: tRNA
About the family: Transfer RNA (tRNA) molecules are approximately 80 nucleotides in length. Their secondary structure includes four short double-helical elements and three loops (D, anti-codon, and T loops).
Source: Rfam by way of RNAcentral